CGCGGUAAUUUGACCGUGCGAAGGUAGCAUAAUCAAUAGUCUUUUAAUUGAAGGCUGGAAUGAAUGGUUGGACAAGAAGCAUUCUGUCUCGUUUAUAAGAAUUGAAUUUAACUUUUAAGUGAAAAGGCUUAGUUGAUUUAAGGGGACGAUAAGACCCUAUAAAACUUUAUAUUAAUAUGUUAGUUUUUGAAUUUAAGUUUAAAGUGUAUUAAUAUUAGGAAUAUUAUGUUGGGGCGACAAGAAUAUAAUUGUAACUGUUUGUUAGAUGAAAUAGAUAUUUUUAGAGAGUUUUGAUCCUUUAGUAGGGAUUAUAAGAAUAAGUUACUUUAGGGAUAACAGCGUUAUUUUUUCUGAGAGUUCUUAUCGACGAAAGUAGUUGCGACCUCGAUGUUGAAUUAAAGUUUCAGUGGGGUGUAGAAG
Molecule: ribosomal RNA, 420 nt
Filed under: Oplophorus gracilirostris
Lineage: Eukaryota; Metazoa; Arthropoda; Malacostraca; Decapoda; Oplophoridae
Description: partial 16S ribosomal RNA
Rfam family: Bacterial large subunit ribosomal RNA
Source: RNAcentral